UACGUAGGGUGCGAGCGUUAAUCGGAAUUACUGGGCGUAAAGGGCUCGUAGGCGGCCAACUAAGUCAGACGUGAAAUCCCUCAGCUUAACUGGGGAACUGCGUCUGAUACUGGAUGGCUUGGAUUCGGGAGAGGGAUGCGGAAUUCCAGGUGUAGCGGUGAAAUGCGUAGAUAUCGAGAGGAACACCUGCGGCGAAGGCGGGUUGCUGGGCUGAUACUGACGCUGAGGCGCGAAAGCCAGGGGAGCGAACGGG
Molecule: ribosomal RNA, 253 nt
Filed under: uncultured bacterium
Lineage: Bacteria
Description: partial 16S ribosomal RNA
Rfam family: Bacterial small subunit ribosomal RNA
Source: RNAcentral